CCGGCGACCGGCGCACGGGUGAGCAACACGUAUGCAACCUGGCCGCCACAGGGGGAUAACCCGCGGAAACGCGGCCUAAUACCCCGUGACGCCACCGGAGGGCAUCCUCCGGUGGCCAAAGGAGCGAUCCGGUGGCGGAUGGGCAUGCGGCGCAUUAGCUAGACGGCGGGGUGACGGCCCACCGUGGCGACGAUGCGUAGGGGUUCUGAGAGGAAGGCCCCCCACACUGGGACUGAGACACGGCCCAGACUCCUACGGAAGGCAGCAG
RNAcentral lists this ribosomal RNA (268 nucleotides) under uncultured bacterium. Its description in RNAcentral is "partial 16S ribosomal RNA". It matches the Rfam family "Bacterial small subunit ribosomal RNA", at positions 88 to 354 of the family's 1533-position model. The record is from RNAcentral.